CUUUGGAAGAACAGCCAAUGCUCUUAACUCUGUGGAACGAUACAGAGAAGAUUAGCAUGGUCCCUGCGCAAUACACUUUCUUAAUGUGUUUGUUUCCUGAUAUAU
This is a small nuclear RNA of Peromyscus leucopus (white-footed mouse), 105 nucleotides long. Lineage: Eukaryota; Metazoa; Chordata; Mammalia; Rodentia; Cricetidae. The record is from RefSeq and is a predicted model, not a curated record.